RNAcentral lists this ribosomal RNA (386 nucleotides) under Escherichia coli. RNAcentral describes it as "partial 23S ribosomal RNA". It matches the Rfam family "Bacterial large subunit ribosomal RNA", at positions 323 to 714 of the family's 2925-position model. The record is from RNAcentral. Lineage: Bacteria; Pseudomonadati; Pseudomonadota; Gammaproteobacteria; Enterobacterales; Enterobacteriaceae.
UGUGUGUUAGUGGAAGCGUCUGGAAAGGCGCGCGAUACAGGGUGACAGCCCCGUACACAAAAAUGCACAUGCUGUGAGCUCGAUGAGUAGGGCGGGACACGUGGUAUCCUGUCUGAAUAUGGGGGGACCAUCCUCCAAGGCUAAAUACUCCUGACUGACCGAUAGUGAACCAGUACCGUGAGGGAAAGGCGAAAAGAACCCCGGCGAGGGGAGUGAAAAAGAACCUGAAACCGUGUACGUACAAGCAGUGGGAGCACGCUUAGGCGUGUGACUGCGUACCUUUUGUAUAAUGGGUCAGCGACUUAUAUUCUGUAGCAAGGUUAACCGAAUAGGGGAGCCGAAGGGAAACCGAGUCUUAACUGGGCGUUAAGUUGCAGGGUAUAGAC